AUUGUUCGUAGGACAAGUAAUAUACGGUGUUUGAUGUCAGAGAGCUUGUGGUUAGUGUGAACAAGAAUCAACCUAUAUAUGAAUCUACCUACUUAAUUGAAAGAACAAUCGGUAAUAACCGUUAUUUUAGUGAAGUGCAAUUUAGAUUUUAGUGUAUAACUAUAUCUAAAAUUGUUAAAUAGGGUGGCAACGCGUAGACCACGUCCCUUGU
RNAcentral lists this non-coding RNA (211 nucleotides) under Staphylococcus argenteus. It matches the Rfam family "T-box leader". From Rfam's summary of the family: Uncharged tRNA acts as the effector for transcription antitermination of genes in the T-box leader family. The record is from RNAcentral. Lineage: Bacteria; Bacillati; Bacillota; Bacilli; Caryophanales; Staphylococcaceae.